Molecule: long non-coding RNA, 463 nt
Filed under: Panax ginseng (ginseng)
Lineage: Eukaryota; Viridiplantae; Streptophyta; Magnoliopsida; Apiales; Araliaceae
Description: long non-coding RNA (PGIN_LNC016041)
Source: RNAcentral
UGACACUUUAUAUUAUGUGAGUUGAAGAGAGUAUAAAGAGCAUAAGCUUAAAGAUUACAAGAAUUAAUUGCCCCCAGUGAUGGUAAGACGCUCUAUUUAUAGCGAACCGUGACAGUUUUGGGACGAGCACGUAAUCACUACUUUAGUGGAGUUCUCAACUUCUCCAAAGCGUGCAAGGUGAUGUACGUGCUCUCUGUGAGGUCCAAAGACGAGGCUUGACCAUUUCAUGAUGUGGGCGUGUUCAUUUAACCCGACUGUGAUGGAUCAUAUUUGUUAGGCUCGCCAUACUUCUUAUGUGACGCUCCCAAAAUAGGUAUACAACACCCAUUCUGAGUCGCCAAAAUACAUGGUAUAGAAAGCAAACUACAACUUUGACAAUACAGAUGUCGUGUAGAAUACGACAAUACAACUGUGAGUUUGAAUACAAAUAUUGUCUUCUAGACAAUAUACACACCCAAAUAAG